GACGAACGCUGGCGGCGUGCUUAACACAUGCAAGUCGAACGGAAAGGCCUGUCCUUCCUUGUGUUGGACGGGUACUCGAGUGGCGAACGGGUGAGUAACACGUGAGUGAUCUGCCCCCAACUUGGGUAUAAGCCUGGGAAACUGGGUCUAAUUCCCGAUAGGACUGCAGGGUGGUGCCUGUGGUGGAAAACGAUUUUCUAGUGGUUGGGGAUGAGCUCGCGGCCUAUCAGCUUGUUGGUGGGGUAAUGGCCUACCAAGGCGGCGACGGGUAGCCGGACUGAGAGGGUGGACGGCCACAUUGGGACUGAGAUACGGCCCAGACUCCUACGGGAGGCAGCAGUGGGGAAUAUUACACAAUGGGCGGAAGCCUGAUGCAGCGACGCCGCGUGGGGGAUGACGGCCUUCGGGUUGUAAACUCCUUUCGACCGCGAGGAAGCCGCCUGGUUGGAAGGGUGGUGACGGUAGUGGUAGAAGAAGCACUGGCUAACUACGUG
Molecule: ribosomal RNA, 494 nt
Filed under: uncultured bacterium
Lineage: Bacteria
Description: partial 16S ribosomal RNA
Rfam family: Bacterial small subunit ribosomal RNA
Source: RNAcentral